AAGUCGUAACAAGGUUUCCGUAGGUGAACCUGCGGAAGGAUCAUUAGUAAUCGAUGCAUGGCGGCGCGUGCAAGCGUGCCGCCAUUCACAUCAUAUACACCCCAUGUGAGUAGUCACACGAAAUGUCAUGACUGAAACAUUACACAGUUAAAGUAAAUGCAUACAACUUUUAACAAUGGAUCUCUUGGUUCCU
RNAcentral lists this unclassified non-coding RNA (193 nucleotides) under fungal sp. RNAcentral's name for it is "partial internal transcribed spacer region". The stretch from base 1 to 46 matches the Rfam family "Eukaryotic small subunit ribosomal RNA", at positions 1786 to 1831 of the family's 1831-position model. Lineage: Eukaryota; Fungi. The record is from RNAcentral.